CCAUCCUUCAAAGAGUGCGUAACAGCUCACUAGUCGAGUGACCCUGCGCCGAAAAUGUACCGGGGCUAAGCAUACUACCGAAGCUGCGGAUUUGCAGUAAUGCAAGUGGUAGGGGAGCGUUGCAUGCACGUAGAAGCYGUACCGUAAGGAGCAGUGGAGAGCAUGGAAGAGAGAAUGCCGGUGUGAGUAGCGAGAUGUAGGUGAGAAUCCUACACACCGAUAGCCCAAGGAUUCCAGGGGAAGGUUCGUCCGCCCUGGGUAAGUCGGGACCUAACGCGAGGCCGAAAGGCGUAGUGGAUGGAAAACAGGCAGAUAUUCCUGUACCCGCGAUGGAAAUGAAGGAAUGACGGAGAAGGCUAGUGUGAGCCACUUAGUGGAUUGUGGUCGAAGCAUAUAGCAGGCUGACAGUGAAAUGCGUCAGCGGGAUGUAAGAUGUGAUAGGUAAGGGAACGYCCUCGGRCAAGUACUGAAGCACAUGAUGCCAGCUUCCAAGAAAAGUUUCUAGUAWURAUUCCAUAGCGGCCCGUACCAAAACCGACACAGGUGGGCAAGGAGAGAAUCCUGAGGUGAGCGAGAGAACUGUUGCCAAGGAACUCGGCAAAAUGACUCCGUAAGUUAGCGAUAAGGAGUGCUCUUGUAAAAGAGAGCCGCAGUGAAGAGGCCCAAGCGACUGUUUAACUAAAACACAGCUCUCUGCAAAGUCGCAAGACGAAGUAUAGGGGGUGACGCCUGCCCGGUGCUGGAAGGUUAAGAGGAUUUGUCAUCCGCAAGGAGAAGCAAUGAAUUGAAGCCCCAGUGAACGGCGGCC
Molecule: ribosomal RNA, 808 nt
Filed under: [Clostridium] innocuum
Lineage: Bacteria; Bacillati; Bacillota; Clostridia; Eubacteriales; Clostridiaceae
Description: bacterial LSU rRNA
Rfam family: Bacterial large subunit ribosomal RNA
Source: RNAcentral